AUGUAUUGCCUUUCGCCCCUCCAGCAUCUUAUGUGUAGCCCCGCCAUUGCUCCACAUGAUACUUUGGUAACUGGGUUUCCACCGCGCAAAGUCGGCACACUCCCGCGCAAUAUUGCACAAUCAACAUUAGGCCCGGCGCUCCUCCCCAAGGAGGCCGUCGAUUUUGCCAAAACGCUUCAUGUCACUUCUGAUGCAUCCACUGUCUUGCCAUUUUUUGCCAGGGAUGCCCCCUUCUUGAGCUUCUUCCACUCCCUUGCAGAGACAUACACUGGAGGGUGGUGGAGUUGUCGGAUCAACAAGCUUGAGCUCCUCGAUGUUGGUUGGACUCGAUGCCCAUAUCCAAGUUUCUCCUUUGUUGGCGCAAAAUCAUUUUCUUUCGCACAGUCAUGUUCUUUCUCCACGUCCAUCGAUGCUACAUGGCAGGGGCGGACCUACAUUCACGCAACCGGUAUCACAAGACACCGGGUAGAAAUUGCACUUAUACGUGUAUACUACUUCGUAUUUGGGGCUUCGGCAGUGAAAAUAAACCUAGACACCGAUUGGAGGAUUGUUGGAGCGGGCGCAGGCGCGACCCAUCUAGUAGCAAAGAAAACAAGGUAG
RNAcentral lists this ribosomal RNA (600 nucleotides) under Triticum aestivum (bread wheat). RNAcentral's name for it is "partial small subunit ribosomal RNA". The record is from RNAcentral. Lineage: Eukaryota; Viridiplantae; Streptophyta; Magnoliopsida; Poales; Poaceae.